CUCUAGCCAAGACUAGGUAGGUAAUAAAUCACGUAGCUGUCGCUUCUGAUUGUCUCGUGUGUUCUACUCACUGGCAUCCCUGCCUGGACUGGGAAAAAGUCAUCACCCUCUGCCCAAGCCCUGUGCAGCUUGGCCCACCUGAGCCUCUUGCUACUGAAAUGACUCUCCUUCCCUUAUAUCACCAGAAGAGAUGGGUCCACCUAGAGGAAGGAGCAAAACAGGAGUUAAACUGCAGAGCAUGAUCAAGAGUCGGUCUCACUCACCCUGAUUCGGGAAGUUGGAUUCCACCACUCUGUGGUUCAGGGGCUGGGUCCUGCGGUAAUCGUUGUGGAUGGUCUUGUUGCGGUGAUCCAGUAAGGAAUUCUCCAGCUUCCAAACCUGGGGGCAACGUGAGUGCAUUAUGGAGGGGAAGAGUCACUGGGUAAUUUAAAAGAAAUAACAGUUGGCCCGGCGCAGUGGCUCACGCCUGUAAUCCCAGCAUUUUGGGAGGCUGGGGCGGGCAGAUCACUUGAGCUCAGGAGUUGGAGACCAGCCUGGCCAACAUGGUGAAACCUCUUCUCUACUAAAAAUUAGCUGAUCAUGGUUGUGUGCACCUGUAAUCCCAGCUACUCAGGAGGCUGAGGCAGGAGAAUCGCUUGAACCUGGGAGGCAGAGGCUGCAGUAAGCCAGUAUCACGCAACCGCACUCCAGCCUGGGAGACAGAGAGAAACUCUGUCUCAAAAAAAAUAAAAAAUAAAAAAGAAUUAACAACUGGG
RNAcentral lists this long non-coding RNA (755 nucleotides) under Homo sapiens (human). RNAcentral describes it as "novel transcript, antisense to CA6". The record is from RNAcentral. Lineage: Eukaryota; Metazoa; Chordata; Mammalia; Primates; Hominidae.